ACCUGCGUGUGUGUCUUGUCACACCCAGGCAGGCUUGUCCGCUCACAUCACAUCGCGCAUGGACAGGGCUGGUGCCACACAUUGUGCAUGCCCCGUCCGCGCAACAAGCCUGCACUCGGCGAGUGAGGCACACUAGUGCCUCAGGCAGUGUGCCGCCGCCCAACCACCUCUUGGGAUGUGCUGCCACUUGUGGAGGAAGAUUCUCCUCCAUUUUUUCUGUUGCGUCAAAUCAAGCAAUUUCCCAUUUCUACACUCUUUAUCUCUUCAUUGAAUUUCGCCGCCUGGCGCAAAUUCAAUAGCCUCCAUUUUCUAUAUACUGCCCUUCCUCCCAUUUUCUCCUCACUUCCAUUCUUCCACCUUCCAUGAGUUAGAGAGAGAGAGGGAGUGAUCUAGAGAGAGAAGGAGAGGAGGAGAACAACGGUGUAGGAAAAACUUCAAGAUG
This 442-nucleotide long non-coding RNA is filed under the name Carica papaya (papaya). Its description in RNAcentral is "long non-coding RNA (CPAP_LNC013249)". The record is from RNAcentral. Lineage: Eukaryota; Viridiplantae; Streptophyta; Magnoliopsida; Brassicales; Caricaceae.